GUAGGUGGCAAGCGUUGUCCGGAAUUAUUGGGGCGUAAAGCGCGCGCAGGCGGUUCUUUAAGUCUGAUGUGAAAGCCCACGGGCUCAACCGUGGAGGGUCAUUGGAAACUGGAGAACUUGAGUACAGAAGAGGAAAGCGGAAUUCCACGUGUAGCGGUGAAAUGCGUAGAGAUGUGGAGGAACACCAGUGGCGAAGGCGGCUUUCUGGUCUGUAACUGACGCUGAGGCGCGAAAGCGUGGGGAGCAAACAGGAUUAGAUACCCUGGUAGUCCACGCCGUAAACGAUGAGUGCUAAGUGUUAGGGGGUUUCCGCCUCUUAGUGCUGCAGCUAACGCAUUAAGCACUCCGCCUGGGGAGUACGGCCGCAAAGGCUG
This 374-nucleotide ribosomal RNA is filed under the name uncultured organism. RNAcentral's name for it is "partial 16S ribosomal RNA". It matches the Rfam family "Bacterial small subunit ribosomal RNA", at positions 527 to 896 of the family's 1533-position model. The record is from RNAcentral.